AUUGAACGCUGGCGGCAUGCCUUACACAUGCAAGUCGAGCGGCAGCGCGGGGGCAACCCUGGCGGCGAGCGGCGGACGGGUGAGUAAUACAUCGGAACGUGUCCUUUCGUGGGGGAUAACCAGUCGAAAGACUGGCUAAUACCGCAUGAGACCUCACGAUGAAAGCGAGGGACCGCAAGGCCUCGCGCGAUUGGAGCGGCCGAUGUCGGAUUAGCUAGUGGCGGGGUAAAGCCCACCAAGGCUACGAUCCGUAGCUGGUUUGAGAGAACGACCAGCCACACUGGGACUGAGACACGGCCCAGACUCCUACGGGAGGCAGCAGUGGGGAAUUUUGGACAAUGGGGGCAACCCUGAUCCAGCCAUGCCGCGUGUGUGAAGAAGGCCU
RNAcentral lists this ribosomal RNA (385 nucleotides) under uncultured bacterium. RNAcentral's name for it is "bacterial SSU rRNA". It matches the Rfam family "Bacterial small subunit ribosomal RNA", at positions 29 to 417 of the family's 1533-position model. The record is from RNAcentral.